Molecule: long non-coding RNA, 245 nt
Filed under: Mytilus galloprovincialis (Mediterranean mussel)
Lineage: Eukaryota; Metazoa; Mollusca; Bivalvia; Mytilida; Mytilidae
Source: RNAcentral
UUUGUCAGAUGUCUCAAAUAAUUAUCGUUACUGUAUUUUUGGAUUAGGAUUAAAUUUGAAGAAAAAAAAGCAGGACAGGAGCUUUGAGUAAAAAAAGGCAGGAUGAGCAACUUGGCCAAAAAAAAAAAGGCAGGAUGACAAUUUAUGUAAAUAAAAGUCAGGAUAAACUAAGAAAAAAAACCGGCAGGACAGAGAUUACAACUAAAAAAAAAUGCAGGACAAAAUUUUUCAUCCUAGCCCCCCCC